This is a long non-coding RNA of Pygocentrus nattereri (red-bellied piranha), 218 nucleotides long. The record is from Ensembl. Lineage: Eukaryota; Metazoa; Chordata; Actinopteri; Characiformes; Serrasalmidae.
AGUAGAAAUAUAAUACACCUUUGGACAUGGGUCACUGCGGUCCUCCUAACUAUCAUCACAAACAGCAGCGACACAAAUUUGGCAACAGCCACUGUUAAUGAUCCCUGCGACGACUACACUCCUCUGGAUCAACCCUGGAGAGCCACGAACGCAACUCAACUGGUGAUCUGUGACAGCAACUACAACUGGACUGGCUGGUAUCGGCUGCUGUAUUAUGG